This 1479-nucleotide long non-coding RNA is filed under the name Callithrix jacchus (white-tufted-ear marmoset). RNAcentral describes it as "lncRNA (ENSCJAG00000080753.1)". The record is from RNAcentral. Lineage: Eukaryota; Metazoa; Chordata; Mammalia; Primates; Cebidae.
GUCAAAAAAAGAAAAAAAAAAAAGAAAAAACAUUCAGUUCUCUUUUAUUUAGAACACUUUUUAUUUACAACUUUCCUCUUCCAUGGUUUGCUAUACUUCUCAUCUCAGUCCAAGAUAUUGCUCCCUGAUUUCUUUCUUUUUUCUUUUUUUAGCCCACAGGGUUUCUCACCACCUGAACUGCAAACACUGUCAGAGUGUAUUGAUGGCUUUCAUAUUAUAUGUUGACAAUGCUACUACUCGGGAGUGGAAAUGUGGUCAAAAAGACAGAUAUGACUGUCCAUCUUUCCAGAGAGUAGUGCUGUGAGAUGAAGUCAAUCAACCUGAGCAUCUGCCUGGGUCAGCAGACCAGAAGAGACUUUUGACACGGGAAUAUAUAGCUCUCCCUCCAGAAUGCUUUCUGAUUUCAACUUUGGACUCCUCUUAUUGUUUUUAAGAAGGAAGUUUGAUGUUCUUAUCUCAGGUAAACUGUCUACAUUCUCUUAUGCUGUUUUUCAUCACCAAGGCAUUUUAAGAUGAUCCAUCUCAUAAUUUUAACACAAAACACAUUUUCUGAUUGCAUUCUUACUUCUUAGAGCCUGAUUUUAAAAAGUUAAAAGGGGGAAAUGAAAUCUGCCUUCUGCAAGACACAGAACACAUUACUGUUGUGUAUUUGUCAGGUUUCCAAAAGUAAAAUUAAAAUGGGAAUGAUAAAUGAAGGUGGUGUUCCCAUGUUUCCUUCUCUUUUUAAGUCCACUUAAUUCUCCUCCUCUCUUCCAUGAUCAAUAUCUUACCCUUAACAACACCAGUUCCUGUUGUUCACAUUCUAUUUAAUUACACAGAUGUCUGUCCAGUUCUUAUUAAGUUCAAGUCCUAGAAUGAUAGAGCAGUCUUGUCUUAUGUGUGGAUAGGAAUGCACAUCGAAAAGAAGUGGAAUAUAGUGAUCAUGAUUUAUUAAAGCUAUAAUUAUUUUACUCAACAAAUAUUAAACACCGGGUACACAAAGAUGGUUUAGAUGCCAAUUCUGCCCAGGUUAUUAGAGAAGGACUAUUAUAAACAUGUCAUUAUAAUAGAAUGUGCUAAGUGUUAUAAUUGAAGCACAUACAAAAUUCUGCAUAAGUUCGGAACAAGAAUUCAUGCAGAAUAAGAACUAUUAACUCAUGGAGAGAGAGGUCAAGGAAGGUGUCAUAAAGAAGUGGUACUCAGAAACAGAGGAGUAGUGCAGCAAAAAGAGAGUAUAAUUGCUAUUCCAGGCAGUGUGUGUGCCAUGUGUCACGAAAUAGAUGAGGAAUACAUUUAUUAUUUGGGGAAAGGUAAAUUGUUCCCUGUAGCUAAAGAACAGGGUAAGUAGGAGAAAAUCUGGUAAAGAACUGGGGGCGGGGAAGAACUGGAUGAAGUCUAGCAUUGGCAGAAAUGACCAAUCAGUGUUUUAUGUUUUUUUUCACAUUUACUCCUCACAAAAAAUCUGAGUCAAGUGCUAGUAUCUUUAUUUUGCAAAAAAGC